This 935-nucleotide long non-coding RNA is filed under the name Numida meleagris (helmeted guineafowl). RNAcentral's name for it is "lncRNA (ENSNMEG00000008386.1)". The record is from RNAcentral. Lineage: Eukaryota; Metazoa; Chordata; Aves; Galliformes; Numididae.
AUGCCAAAUCAUGUAGCAAAACCCAGCGAGGCUGGUGGCGGCAGUGGUGGUGGUGGGUUGUUGGAAGUCAAUGCCUCAGUUCAGGGAGGGUGUGCAGCAGAAGGACUGCAAGCCCUGGGGACUGAGAAGCACUUGGGCUCAGUGUCAGCAGGGCUGCUAAGGAGACUGAGGGUGUGGGGCCAGCACGCGCCCAGCCUGGAGCAGCUGCAGCCUCGGUGCUCAGGUCAGUCUGAUGCUGUUUGCAAGUAUGCUGGUGUUUCUCCAGGAAUUCUGGACUUGAGGGUUGCUCAAAGCAACCUUCUGGAGGCCUAUGAGAAGUUCCAGCCACAGGAAUUCUACCCAGAAAACACACAGGUUUCAUACAGCACAUCCUUCUUCACUGCAAAGCAGCAGUUUAAUAAGAGCUCUGAGUAUCUCAGCAGAGGUCACUAAGUUACUUUUAAAUAUUGGCACAGAGAACGUACAGUUUCAUCUUCAGCAGAACCUCCCUUCCCAGCAAGGUUGGUAUACAAGUGUGUGAUAAUUGCAUGAUCACUCUUUGCUUCUUUCUUUCAUUCUGAUAUCCACAUCUUAGUUUUUAUAAACACAGGGUUGCAUGUGGUCAACAUGGCUGUUUCUUCACAGAAUAGGCUUCUCAACAGGAAGAAAAAAAGAAAUUAGGAUGCAUAGAACUGCAGUGUGAAGCUGUUUUCAGAACAUACCCUCUACCACUCCACCCAUAAACCCUAAAUUACUAAUUUUCCUCAGCCACAAGGCAUGGAGAAAAAAAAGAGAGAUCAAGGUAUUUUACGUAGGGAGCUUCAAGGAAACAGGCUAAAAAGGGAAUGAAUAACUCAGUCAACUCUUAUUUAAGCAAUGUUGGUCAAGUUCUUUGAGUGUCUCCUCAUGGCUUUGCUGAGGAAUUUUUUAUAAUCUUCUAUAAGAUUAAAGCUAAC